AUCAAUAAGCGGAGGAAAAGAAACCAACAGGGAUUGCCUCAGUAACGGCGAGUGAAGCGGCAACAGCUCAAAUUUGAAAGCUGGCUCUCGGGCCCGCGUUGUAAUUUGCAGAGGAUGCUUCGGGUGCAGUGCUGGUCUAAGUUCCUUGGAACAGGACGUCAUAGAGGGUGAGAAUCCCGUAUGUGACUGGUGGCGUGCGCCUGUGUGAAGCUCCUUCGACGAGUCGAGUUGUUUGGGAAUGCAGCUCUAAUCGGGUGGUGUACUUCAUCUAAAGCUAAAUACCGGCCAAAGACCGAUAGCGCACAAGUAGAGUGAUCGAAAGAUGAAAAGCACUUUGAAAAGAGAGUUAAACAGUACGUGAAAUUGUUGAAAGGGAAGCGUUUGCAAUCAGACUUGUACAGCGCCGAUCAGCCUGGGUUCUCCCUGGUGCACUCGGCGCUGCGCAGGCCAGCAUCAGUUUCAGCGGCUGGAUAAAGGCCUAGGGAAUGUGAGUUGCUUCGGCGACUGUUAUAGCCCUAGGCGCCAUGCAGCCUGUGGGGACUGAGGACCGCGCUUCGGCUAGGAUGCUGGCGUAAUGGUUACAAACGACCCGUCUUGAAACACGGACCAAGGAGUCUAACAUCUAUGCGAGUGUUUGGGCGUCAAACCCAUAUGCGGAAUGAAAGUGAACGGAGGUGAGAACCCUUAAGGGUGCAUCAUCGACCGAUCCUGAUGUCUUCGGAUGGAUUUGAGUAAGAGCAUAGCUGUUGGGACCCGAAAGGUUAGUGCUCUCCCUCCCCCUCUCCUCUUGAUUACGUAAUACUAACAGUGAAUUGUAGAUGGUGAACUAUGCCUGAAUAGGGUGAAGCCAGAGGAAACUCUGGUGGAGGCUCGCAGCGGUUCUGACGUGCAAAUCGAUCGACAAAUUUGGGUAUAGGGGCGAAAGACUAAUCGAACCAUCAGGCUACCCUAGGUGGUUGAGAGGCCUGCGAGGCCUAGUCGUCUAGGCGGCAAUACUGCAAAAUUGCGGGGACUGCUCGAGAGGUGCAGGCUACCACAGCAGGCUCGAAAGGGCCUGCCACGGUCACAAGGCCUGACAGCUGAGCUGAUCCGCAACCCUAGCCUAAGGCUGUAUCCCCUCUUUGGGGCAGCGAUGGCGGAGGGCUCAUCGACUAGAUGGCAGUAGGUAGGGGGGUUAUCUCCCCCCUAGCUUAAGGGAUAGUCAGCCUGCAGCGGGGAUGCUGUAGAGGAUGCGCUAGUAGCUGGUUCACGCCGAAGUUUCCCUCAGGAUAGCAGUGUUGAAUUCAGUUUUAUGAGGUAAAGCGAAUGAUUAGAGGCCUUGGGGUUGAAACAACCUUAACCUAUUCUCAAACUUUAAAUAUGUAAGAAGUCCUUGUUGCUUAAUUGAACGUGGACAUUCGAAUGUACCAACACUAGUGGGCCAUUUUUGGUAAAAGUUCACCGAUAUACUCUAUAACCCUUCUAUAAUCACCAAUAACUCUGAGGAUUAUUUGGGGCUAAUAGAAAUAUCGCUUGCCAAAGAGAGAAAAAUCUUGACGGAUAUUUUCUAGUCGACUUCACCAUUAGGCAUUGCUAGUGCCCAAGUCUUUAUAUACCUUAAGAUGUGGAGCGGCAACACAACCUGGUUCGAGAGACAUCCUUGACAAAGGACAACCUCGAUGCGAGCUGUAGCUUCUAGCUAGCAGCCGCGGUAACGUGCGGAAAGGUGUGGGUGAAGCUCCCCUGUGGCCAGGGGAGGCUUUGCUUUAGGAACGUACUGUCCCUCGCGCAAGCGAGCUUCUCAGCUGAGUGCUAGCAACACAAGGCCUGGAAGGAGGUUGGUUUUACCAGCUUUGGAGAUAUAAACGAAGCAGAACUGGCGAUGCGGGAUGAACCGAACGCGAAGUUAAGGUGCCGGAAUGUACGCUCAUCAGACACCACAAAAGGUGUUAGUUCAUCUAGACAGCAGGACGGUGGCCAUGGAAGUCGGAAUCCGCUAAGGAAUGUGUAACAACUCACCUGCCGAAUGAACUAGCCCUGAAAAUGGAUGGCGCUUAAGCGUACUACCCAUACUUCGCCGCCAGGGUAGAAACGAUGCCCUGGCGAGUAGGCGUGCGUGGGGGUCAGUGACGAAGCCU
RNAcentral lists this ribosomal RNA (2117 nucleotides) under Triblidium caliciiforme. RNAcentral's name for it is "partial large subunit ribosomal RNA". It matches the Rfam family "Eukaryotic large subunit ribosomal RNA", at positions 42 to 1411 of the family's 3401-position model. The record is from RNAcentral. Lineage: Eukaryota; Fungi; Ascomycota; Leotiomycetes; Triblidiales; Triblidiaceae.